RNAcentral lists this ribosomal RNA (253 nucleotides) under uncultured bacterium. RNAcentral describes it as "partial 16S ribosomal RNA". It matches the Rfam family "Bacterial small subunit ribosomal RNA", at positions 524 to 776 of the family's 1533-position model. The record is from RNAcentral.
UACGGGGGGGGCAAGCGUUGUUCGGAAUUACUGGGCGUAAAGGGCUCGUAGGUGGCCAACUAAGUCAGACGUGAAAUCCCCAGGCUCAACUUGGGAACUGCGUCUGAUACUGGAUGGCUUGAAUUCGGGGGAGGGAUGCAGAAUUCCAGGUGUAGCGGUGAAAUGCGUAGAUAUCUGGAGGAAUACCGGUGGCGAAGGCGGCAUCCUGGACCGAGAUUGACACUGAUGAGCGAAAGCCAGGGGAGCAAACGGG